This 1929-nucleotide long non-coding RNA is filed under the name Parus major (Great Tit). RNAcentral's name for it is "lncRNA (ENSPMJG00000013648.1)". The record is from RNAcentral. Lineage: Eukaryota; Metazoa; Chordata; Aves; Passeriformes; Paridae.
CUACUUUAUUCUGUUAUGAAUGACCAGGCUGGGUCCAGUUCAGGCUGGCAUAUCAGGUAGAAGCAGGACACGUGAAACUAAAUUUAGUCAUUACACAAUACUUUCUGCUGGCCUAGAUUUACAAGGAGAAAAAUGGGGUUUCUACAUUCAGGUUAAAUAAGUCUGCAGGUGAUACUGCUGGAGAAAUAACACACCAUCUAAUUCACUGAAUGCAGCUUCUGAUAGGACUGUGAUGUGCCAGCUGGAUAGAAUCCUGAUAUGAAUGGCUAUAAACCUUUUUAUUAAACAUGAUUCAGCUUGUCUUUACUUUCCUCUCUCCUCUAGUUCUCAGAAUUGCAAUUUCUAUCUUUUUUAUAUGGUAGGAAAAAUAAGGAAAAGAAUGAAAGAUUUUGUCUGGAUUAUGAACCUCUUUUCUCAGACCUCCUAAAUGGAAAUUGUUCCUGGAAAGUUUGGACAGUUCCUUUUUUUCUCUUAAUAAUUGCAAACACUGAACCACCACAGCAGAAGUGAGAUUUGUAUUGCCAUACACUACUUGGAGAUUUUCUGUCCAUUAUGACUUCUCCCUGCCUCUUUCCCCUGUCUUCUAGUGCAUCUUCUAGUGCACAGCUUGUGGAAAUAUGUCACAUUUCUGUGGUGCAGCAGAGUGGGAGGCAGAAAAUCUGGAUCUUAUUACCAGUUUGGCCAUGGUCUUCCUAUGUGAACAUGGUAUGGAUUCUUCUGGGCAACCUGAAGCUUCUCUGUGCAGCGAAAAAGUGGCUACAGCUGCUCAUGCUCAUGCUCACGCUCAUACCACCCAGAUGUCCUGGGAUGUGGCUGCAUGGCAGCCCAGACCUGCUCUUCAACAGCUCCUCAGCUACAGGUCCCUGAGAGACCACAUGUGAAGUUCACAGUGAAAGCUCUGCAGCAGAAGCCCUGGCAACAGAAUAAGUGGAACAUACUUGGCUGUCAUUUUUCCAGUCUUUGCUGCAGUCCUGAAUUGCACUAAAGGGAAGCUAUUCAUUGGCAACUCUGUGCAGAUGAAACAAUUUCAACAAUUGUGGACAACUGUGAACAGAUGAAAAAUUUCAAAUCCUAUGUGAAGUUUCAGGUGAAAAUCUACCCAUGCUUUGCUCUUCUGGGUGAUGAAAUAAUUUCCUGAAGAAACUACGCCAUAAUGUCAAAAUGUUUAAAGGUACUUGAUUGUGAAAUGCUGAACAUCUUGCUGUUUGGCAUGGCUGCUUUCCCACUUCUAAUGCUUUUCAAAGAGUAAAUACAUGCUGCAUCUAAUAAUGACCACGAGUCUGCAUUAGAGAUAUACUACCUGGAACUGGAAGCUGAUGGGCAGACCUGAAAGUAUUGCAGAACUAAGUUUUAUCUGCAUGCUCCCUGAGUAUGCAGAGCUGUUAAUCACAUGUGCACAGUCUCGAAGACAAAGACCAGAAAACUCACUGAGAUUUUGAAACAACAAUAAUGUAAAGCCCAUUGCAAGAUUUAAUAUAAAGUCUGAACUGUAUUCUGUGAUGUAUCUGGUUCUUGUUUGAUGUACUUCUAUUGCCAGAGUUAAUAUAGUGUUUGCAGUGCACACAUGAAGCAGAUAUGCCCAGAUUCCUCUCUAAAAGAAUUCAAUUAUUUUAUAGUCGUGCAGGCUAUCUUUUCUGUUAUUUCUUCCCCACAAUUUCUAUGGGCUUUAUUUAGUUAUGUAAGUUGUUUUUAACAGCUUUCAGCAUGAUUUGCUUUAAUAUAAUGGUAGCGAUAGAUGGUUAUAGAGAAGGUUAUAAAGGUUCUUAUAAGAAAUUUCUAAGUAAGAGGGAAGUCCCUCCUUCUUGGGAAUUUCCAAAGUCUGAGAGAAAAUAAUUCUCAAAUGAACUAUUCAGACACAAGCUUUUCUAUUCUCAGGUGGUAAAGAUUAUGUAUUUUAAUACAGCAGAAUAAAAAUCACCCUCCAACACA